GAUGAACGCUGGCGGCGUGCCUAAUACAUGCAAGUCGAGCGAACAGACGAGGAGCUUGCUCCUUUGACGUUAGCGGCGGACGGGUGAGUAACACGUGGAUAACCUACCUAUAAGACUGGGAUAACUUCGGGAAACCGGAGCUAAUACCGGAUAACAUGUUGAACCGCAUGGUUCAACAGUGAAAGACGGUCUUGCUGUCACUUAUAGAUGGAUCCGCGCCGCAUUAGCUAGUUGGUAAGGUAACGGCUUACCAAGGCAACGAUGCGUAGCCGACCUGGGAGGGUGAUCGGCCACACUGGAACUGAGACACGGUCCAGACUCCUACGGGAGGCAGCAGUAGGGAAUCUUCCGCAAUGGGCGAAAGCCUGACGGAGCAACGCCGCGUGAGUGAAGAAGGUCUUCGGAUCGUAAAACUCUGUUAUUAGGGAAGAACAAAUGUGUAAGUAACUAUGCACGUCUUGACGGUACCUAAUCAGAAAGCCACGGCUAACUACGUG
RNAcentral lists this ribosomal RNA (497 nucleotides) under uncultured bacterium. RNAcentral describes it as "partial 16S ribosomal RNA". It matches the Rfam family "Bacterial small subunit ribosomal RNA", at positions 28 to 507 of the family's 1533-position model. The record is from RNAcentral.